This is a non-coding RNA of Paramuricea clavata, 313 nucleotides long. NCBI's taxonomy places the organism in Eukaryota, Metazoa, Cnidaria, Anthozoa, Malacalcyonacea, Plexauridae. The record is from the annotation of a GenBank genome assembly.
GGGCUGAAAUGCGCCUUAAAAACCAUCGUUCAAAAGGCUGCACUGUGCCUUCAAUAUAGUGAUACAGUGUACCGCUGUUGUGUAAUUAAAAACAUUGAAUAAUUUGUGUGGUCUUAAAAUAAUUAUUAACUGAUAUUGUGGUCUAGUGAAAAGGUUCCAAAAAUGGGUACAAGUUUCCAUACUAUUGUCUUUCUGAUGUCACAGAUAUUAGGUAGCAUAUAGUAAGAUUAAGAAAUAGUUUAUGCAUGGUUAUAGUUUCUCACGUUUCGCGCACAAUAAAGCCAUGCAGGGUUAGGGAUGGGUUGUGAUUACG